GAAAAACAAAGUUGCGACACUCCCAUAGACCGCCAUAGGAACUUUGGAAUGCGGAAGUAACGCGUGUCGUGGAGCGGCCAAUAGUUCCAAACACUGAUAGUUCCAGCAUUGAACCCCAUUCAUUUUCAGUGCUUCUGAAGUACGCUCGCUGUUCUCUCCAACAGCAACAGGCUUUUCUUCAAGACCCGGUCUCCUCUGGGGCCUUUGACACACUCAGACAGAAGAUUCAAGGAAAACUUACCUACCCUCUCCUUAGAUAUAAUAUAUAAUUAAAUGUUUUGUUGAAUGCAAUUGGUUGCCUUGUAUAUUUUUUACUGUUGACCAAACUUCUUUCUCGACUUAAACUGAGCAGCUUUAAUUGAUAUUUGCUUGUUGUGCAGGUUUAUGUGAAUGUAUUUUAACAUAACAUAAGGAUGUUAUUAAUUAUGACCAUAGAAGCAUGAGAAAAAUAUAUACAGUAAAUACUGGAAAUGUAUUAUACCUUAUGGGAGCAGUCCCCCUUCCCUCCAAAAUUCAAAACACAAAAAAAUAAAUUUAAUUCAAAUGGCUUUAUUGACAUAAAAGUUUCAAGAACAAUGUGUAUAUACACUACCAGUCAAAAGUUUUGGAUCGGUAAGAUUUUUAAUGUUUUUAAAAGAAGUCUCUUCUGCUCACCAAAGUUGCAUUUAUUUGAUUAAAAAUACAAGAAAAAAACA
Molecule: long non-coding RNA, 695 nt
Organism: Rhinichthys klamathensis goyatoka
Lineage: Eukaryota; Metazoa; Chordata; Actinopteri; Cypriniformes; Leuciscidae
Exons: 2
Source: RefSeq, a predicted model, not a curated record